This is a long non-coding RNA of Vidua macroura (Pin-tailed whydah), 1633 nucleotides long. RefSeq lists it as uncharacterized. Lineage: Eukaryota; Metazoa; Chordata; Aves; Passeriformes; Viduidae. The record is from RefSeq and is a predicted model, not a curated record. The transcript has 3 exons.
UGCUGCUUAUCACCUUACUCUGCAGUGCCUGGGAACAUUUUGAUAACAGCCAUGGCGAUGUGUCAGGCUGGCAGAUAGCCAGAGCUGCUGCUGUGCUGCUGUUCUGGACAGGCUGGAACUCCAGCGUGAACUUGAGUGGAAGGGCCUGUGAUCUGUGGAUGAGUCCAUGUGGGAACUGGACACCCUGAGGCAUCUGUGGCCCUGGAUAAGGCCAUGCCAGAGCAGGUACAUUUCACAGCAUCUGUGGCCAUGGUUAUGUCUGUGCCACAGCAGCUGGACCUCUGAAGGGAUUGUGGCCCAAGGGGUAGGUCCAUACUGGAGAAAGACACGCCUUGAAACAUCAACAGCUGUGCUUGAGGUCAUGCAAGACUACCCCAAAGUGUGUGGCUGUGGAUAAGCCCAGGAGAGAGCAAAUACACUCCUGGAGGGACUGAAGUCAUGGGUAAGGCCAUACUGGAGCAGGUUUAUUUUCCAAGGGACUGGCUGUGGGUGAGGCCAUGCUGGAGCAGGAACAUCUCUGAAGGCAUUAUGGCCCGUGGAAAAGACCAUACUGAAACUAGUCUACUGUGGCUGUGGGAAUUACUACAGCAGGAAUUACCCAAACCAGUGGAGAACAAGCCUUACAGGAAGCAGUGCAAGUGCAGCAGUGACCUGUUGUGACCUGCCUUUGGUGCCCAGUAACUCCACACAGCACACCACGUCUCCUGUCCUGACCAAAGUCAUGGACUAAAUGAACUCAAAGGACAUUUUGUGGAUGUUUGUGGAUGCUUGGCAGGCAUUUCACAGAGGAUUAUGUUUUUUAAAUUCCUGGUGAAUUUUCUGCUGGAGUAAACGUGAAAUAAGUUAGAAAUUCAAGGAAAUCAGCCCAAUUCAAACCUUUGCUGUUCAGCAUUACUUCAGAUGUAUGAAAUGAAAUGGAGAAUGGUUGCUGGAGGGACCUCCUGAGAAGUCUGGAAUGAACUGGAGUGAAAUGUUUGGGGAUAUUCUGAAAAAGUCCUGCCACUGGGCCAGUCCUUUUCCUGUGAUGAGUAAGCAGACUCUUCUGACUGCAUUUAUUUAGUAUGUGCUGAGCUAGGUCAACAAACGGCCUGCUUGAAAAUCCCAGGCAAGGAGUUUCCAGCAGACACUGGCAACUGCCCUCCUCAACUGGGAUCCAAUUUCCAACAGGAGCAAAGCCAAGCUCAACAACAAAGUUAAAAGCCAAACCAUUAAUAAACUGACUUCCUUACAUUGUAAAUACAUCGGAAAAGGGCAGCAGUUCAAAAGGGAAAAUGAGCCAAACUCUGAUUAUUUUCCUUGAAACUGAAUCCCAGGGGGUGAUUGUCCAUUGAGAUGCCCCCAGGAGAGUUGUGCUGCGCCAAGAAGCAAGAGAGUUCGGGUAGGACAUGGCCAAGAGGCCUCCAAACUGUUGCACAACAGGAAUUUGGGUACAGCGUAACAAUCAUCUGAGGAAAGGGAAAACAGUUCUCACAAACCUAAUUCCUGAGCUAAGCCAGGUUCUCAGGCCAUCUUGAAGUUUAAUUUUGAUUCCUCAGCUGUGUUGGGUGGGGGUGGUUUUUCAGUGAUGUGUAUGUGGUAAUACACACUGAUUGUGGCUCAAGCCAUCAUGAGAAAGUAGCUACAGGCAAAAAAA